This 496-nucleotide ribosomal RNA is filed under the name uncultured bacterium. RNAcentral describes it as "partial 16S ribosomal RNA". It matches the Rfam family "Bacterial small subunit ribosomal RNA", at positions 29 to 507 of the family's 1533-position model. The record is from RNAcentral.
AUGAACGCUGGCGGCGUGCCUAAUACAUGCAAGUCGAGCGAACAGACGAGGAGCUUGCUCCUCUGACGUUAGCGGCGGACGGGUGAGUAACACGUGGAUAACCUACCUAUAAGACUGGGAUAACUUCGGGAAACCGGAGCUAAUACCGGAUAAUAUAUUGAACCGCAUGGUUCAAUAGUGAAAGACGGUUUUGCUGUCACUUAUAGAUGGAUCCGCGCCGCAUUAGCUAGUUGGUAAGGUAACGGCUUACCAAGGCAACGAUGCGUAGCCGACCUGAGAGGGGGGGAGGCCACACGGGUACAGCGACACGGUCCAGACUAAUGAGUGAGGGAGCAGUGGGGAGUUGGCCGCAAGGGGCGAAAGCCUGAAGAAUCAACUGAGGGGGAGAGAUUAAGUGAUUCGGUUAGUAAGACUGUUUUAUUAGUGAAGAACAAAAAAGUCAGUAACGAUGCCCGUCUAGACGCUACGUAAUUAGAAAGACGCCGCUAGCUACGUG